Molecule: ribosomal RNA, 357 nt
Filed under: uncultured bacterium
Lineage: Bacteria
Description: partial 16S ribosomal RNA
Rfam family: Bacterial small subunit ribosomal RNA
Source: RNAcentral
CCUACGAGUGGCAGCAGUGAGGAAUAUUGGUCAAUGGGCGCGAGCCUGAACCAGCCAAGUAGCGUGAAGGAUGACUGCCCUACGGGUUGUAAACUUCUUUUAUAAAGGAAUAAAGUGAGGCACGUGUGCCUUUUUGUAUGUACUUUAUGAAUAAGGAUCGGCUAACUCCGUGCCAGCCGCCGCGGUAAUACGGAGGAUCCGAGCGUUAUCCGGAUUUAUUGGGUUUAAAGGGAGCGUAGAUGGGUUGUUAAGUCAGUUGUGAAAGGUUGGGGCUCAACCGGAAAAUUGCAAUUGAUACUGGGAGCCUUGAGGAAAGGUGAGGUAGGCGGAAGGUGUGGUGGAGCGGUGAAAUGCUUA